AUAAAUUUCAAAUUUAAUUUAAAUUUGGGUGGAACUUCUUCAGAAUUUGGACUAGUUCCGUGUAUUGAGAUUGAGAAUUAAUUUUUUUAUUAAGUUCACAAUAUGUUCGCGAUCCACAGAUGUAUACUGAACAAAAUAUUUCAUUGCAAUGACUAUUCGAACUAGUGUUACUGACGGAAACUAAAUAAAAAAAAAAUAGAAACCAAAAUGUUUCAAAAGAUGGAACCAUAUUAUUUUUUUUUGUAUCUGGCAUGGGCGCUAAGAUAUUUUUAUAUUAUUCUUCUAUUUGCCAUUUUUACGUACAGGAUGUUUAGGGUUUACUACGAUAUAAACUAAUCAAUUCUUAAACCUAUUGGAGAAAAAAGAAAAUUUUAAAAUAUCACCCAUGUGAAUAUUGAAUUAAUGAGUUUUUUCUCAUAUAUAUGUCCCUUAUUUACUAUAGGUAUUGUUUUUAUAUAUGAAACCACAUUUUUUAAAUUUUGUCAAAAGUUCGGAAAUAUUUGUGACGAGUAUGUGAUCAUAUUAUUUUGACAAUACAUUAUAUGAAUUUAACAAAAUUCUGCUGUUUUGAAUAAAAGAUUUUAUUGUUGAA
Long non-coding RNA from Harmonia axyridis, 592 nucleotides. RefSeq lists it as uncharacterized. The transcript is spliced from 2 exons. The record is from RefSeq and is a predicted model, not a curated record. Lineage: Eukaryota; Metazoa; Arthropoda; Insecta; Coleoptera; Coccinellidae.